RNAcentral lists this ribosomal RNA (639 nucleotides) under Marasmius epiphyllus. RNAcentral's name for it is "eukaryotic LSU rRNA". It matches the Rfam family "Eukaryotic large subunit ribosomal RNA", at positions 1 to 623 of the family's 3401-position model. Lineage: Eukaryota; Fungi; Basidiomycota; Agaricomycetes; Agaricales; Marasmiaceae. The record is from RNAcentral.
UGACCUCAAAUCAGGUAGGACUACCCGCUGAACUUAAGCAUAUCAAUAAGCGGAGGAAAAGAAACUAACAAGGAUUCCCCUAGUAACUGCGAGUGAAGAGGGAAAAGCUCAAAUUUAAAAUCUGGCAGCUUCGCUGUCCGAGUUGUAAUUUAGAGAAGUGUUACCCGUGCUGGACCGUGUACAAGUCUUCUGGAACGGAGCGUCAUAGAGGGUGAGAAUCCCGUCUUUGACACGGACUACCAGUACAUUGUGGUACACUCUCAAAGAGUCGUGUUGUUUGGGAAUGCAGCACUAAAUGGGUGGUAAAUUCCAUCUAAAGCUAAAUAUUGGCGAGAGACCGAUAGCAAACAAGUACCGUGAGGGAAAGAUGAAAAGAACUUUGGAAAGAGAGUUAAACAGUACGUGAAAUUGUUAAAAGGGAAACGCUUGAAGUCCAGUCGCGUUGGUUGGAAAUCAGUCUUGCUUUUGCUUGAUGUACUUUCUAAUUGACGGGUCAACAUCAGUUUUGACCGUUGGAAAAAGAUUAGAGGAAUGUGGCAUCUUCGGAUGUGUUAUAGCCUUUAGUUGUAUACAACGGUUGGGACUGAGGAACUCAGCACGCCGAAAGGCCAGGUACUUGUACCAUGUACGUGCUCAGGA